Long non-coding RNA from Coregonus clupeaformis (lake whitefish), 1623 nucleotides. RefSeq lists it as uncharacterized. The transcript has 4 exons. Lineage: Eukaryota; Metazoa; Chordata; Actinopteri; Salmoniformes; Salmonidae. The record is from RefSeq and is a predicted model, not a curated record.
CCCUACACUCUCUGUCUAGCCUAUGUUCUUGCAUCUGACAAAAUUAAAAAAAUAGCUUGAUUAAAUCCCUUUGUUGCGGCAAACUACCUUCAUGUUGCCAGAAGUUUGCAAAUGUUUGCCACUAGUGGUGAAUCUGAGGGAAACCUUUGGCAACAAUAAUAUUUAUUGCCACUUGUGGCAAACAGUUCGCAAUACUCUCAAGAUUCCAUUUGAAUCUGUGGCAACAAUAUUUAUUGUCACUUGUGGCAAACAGUUUACCAGAAGCUGUUGCUGGUGAACACAUAAGUUCUAAAAUCAGUAACCAUUGACGACCAAUCAGGGGGAUUAGUAAUAUCUGUUGGAAAAUGUAAACCAAGCUAUCUAGCUAGCUACUUACCAAAGUUUUCCGAUGUAUACCCUUCCCCUACCCGUGGUGUUGGAAGAGGCUGUAUUAGGAGGAGGAUGCAUCAGCACUCUGGAGAGAUGUUCGUGGUGCACUCAUAGCACAUCUUUUUUUUGUGAUAAAUGAGUGUAUUGUCUUCAAGCUUGAUAAAAAGAAGCAAUCAGUUAGAAGGCAAAAAUACAGAUUGAGGCCUUUAAUCAAAGGACAGAAAUGUGUGUGCACCAGGUCAAGGCUUCUUGCAUGCAUGGCUUUGAGAUCCAUAUACACCUGAGGAGUCAAGAAGAAGAGACAACUAGUAGACAACAUUCUCUUAAAUGAUGAAGUCCCCAUUCUAGAUUGAAUAUCAUCAUUAGUUGAUCAGUUUUUAUCAAUUGUGUUGAGGCUUGGCUGGAGAAAAACCUUGUAUACUGUGGCUCUCUAGGAACAACUGGCCACCCCAUUUAAAAGGUAGCUUUAGUAGGCCUAAGUCCCAGUUUAUGUUAGCUACAUAGUUUGUUUAUAUAGCAUUUAUACAAGGCAGAAACAUUGCUUCAUUGCUGAAAAUAUAUAGAAUGUCAGUUUCAGUGAGAAGCCAGGCAACUUUGUAACAGCUGACCCCGUUUUUCCUAAGCCAAACCUGCCCAUUAGCUGCUGAGUCAACCUUUUAAGAUGCCAAAAUAGAAAAUGUUCUCAGUAAUUGUUUUCAGUAUCCUUAUUUUGUUUAGUGUUUUCUGAUUGUUUCAGCGCAUGCAUUCAAUAAGCAUUGGACGAAGGACUUCCACAGUUCCAUCUCCAAAGUUCACUCAAAAAGGCAAUAGCUCUGAACUAGGUUUGAUUUAGUUUUUGUUUUAAUUAUUUAAAUGUUGUUCAUUAUCUUUUUAAACUUCCAUUGGUUGAAAGCUAUUUCUCAGUUAUCACUUGGCUCACGUAAAUUCUGUAGUUGCCCCUUUAAACAUCUUAAGGUCAACAUCCCCAUACGGUUCACAUUUCUCUCAUGUAAAUGUUGUAGCUACAUAAAAAAAUAUAUUUUUAAACAAUAUAUUUCGGAAAUAUCUAGUCUGCUCUUUUCUUCAAUAGCAUACAGAUGAUUUAAAGUUGUAUUGGAUACAUUUUUUAACUGUUAAGACAUUGAAUACAUUUUGUUUAGUAUAUUUAGUACAUUUAGUAUGUUUAAUUUAGUUCUCUGUGAGAAACAAGUUUGUUUAAAGUUAUGUGAUUUGGUUUAUGUACACUGAACAAAAACAUAAAUGCAACUAUUUCAA